GGGAAGUAGCCACAGGCGGCUGGAAACACCGGUAAACAUCACAUUUGACGCAUUAUUUAUCGCUCAUCUUGUUAUAAACGGAAACGUGUCGCGUUAGAUAGUCAAGCAGCAAGAGGAGACGUUACGUUGUAAACACAGAAGAUAAACAAGGCAGAGAUGAGGCUGUCCAGAGCUCAGUAUAAGGAGAUAGUGAGGUGCGCUGAACAGCUGAGACCCACCCGACAAUGUAUGAAGAUGCUCAAGGAGAGAUUUCCAAAUCACUCGCAGUCCACUCUUCUGAGCAUCUUCUCCCUGGAGUACCAG
Non-coding RNA from Paralichthys olivaceus (Japanese flounder), 303 nucleotides. NCBI's taxonomy places the organism in Eukaryota, Metazoa, Chordata, Actinopteri, Pleuronectiformes, Paralichthyidae. The record is from RefSeq and is a predicted model, not a curated record.